RNAcentral lists this unclassified non-coding RNA (190 nucleotides) under uncultured fungus. Its description in RNAcentral is "sequence contains ITS1". The record is from RNAcentral. Lineage: Eukaryota; Fungi.
GUCUUUGGUUAUAUAGUUUUGUAUUUUAUAAUAUAUGUAUAAAGGGGUUGUGUUUUGUGUAAAAAAAUUGGGGCAUGAUCCGAGGAACAAAUGAUUGUCCCGCGAAAGGCCGCCCCAAAGAUUCACAUAGGGGUGUGUAAUUUUUCAGUUUUGUUCACUGAUGAUCCUUCCGCAGGUUCACCUACGGAAA